GGUGCCAUGUCCGAGUGGUUAGGUACCGGUCUGCAAAACCGUUCACAGCGGUUCGAAUCCGCUUGGCACCUCCA
RNAcentral lists this transfer RNA (74 nucleotides) under Muribaculaceae bacterium. RNAcentral's name for it is "tRNA-Cys". It matches the Rfam family "tRNA". Rfam says of the family: Transfer RNA (tRNA) molecules are approximately 80 nucleotides in length. The record is from RNAcentral. Lineage: Bacteria; Pseudomonadati; Bacteroidota; Bacteroidia; Bacteroidales; Muribaculaceae.